GGGCACGACAGUCUUCUGACA
This 21-nucleotide unclassified non-coding RNA is filed under the name Dictyostelium discoideum. Lineage: Eukaryota; Evosea; Eumycetozoa; Dictyosteliales; Dictyosteliaceae. The record is from RNAcentral.